UACGUAGGUGACCAGCGUUGUCCGGAUUUACUGGGCGUAAAGAGCGCGCAGGCGGUCGUUCAAGUCGAGUGUGAAAGCCCCCGGCUCAACUGGGGAGGGUCACUCGAUACUGAUCGACUUGAAGGCAGGAGAGGGAAGCGGAAUUCCCGGUGUAGUGGUGAAAUGCGUAGAUAUCGGGAGGAACACCGGUGGCGAAGGCGGCAUCCUGGACCGACACUGACACUGAGGAGCGAAAGCCAGGGGAGCAAACGGG
Molecule: ribosomal RNA, 253 nt
Filed under: uncultured bacterium
Lineage: Bacteria
Description: partial 16S ribosomal RNA
Rfam family: Bacterial small subunit ribosomal RNA
Source: RNAcentral